UGGGGAAUAUUGCGCAAUGGGGGGAACCCUGACGCAGCAACGCCGCGUGAAGGAUGAAGGUUUUCGGAUUGUAAACUUCUUUGAUGAGGGAAGAAAGAAAUGACGGUACCUCAAAAACAAGCCACGGCUAACUACGUGCCAGCAGCCGCGGUAAUACGUAGGUGGCGAGCGUUGUCCGGAAUUACUGGGUGUAAAGGGCGUGUAGGCGGGUAAACAAGUCAGAUGUGAAAUCCCAUGGCUUAACUGUGGGGCUGCAACUGAAACUGAUUAUCUUGAGUAUCGGAGAGGAAAGCGGAAUUCCCAGUGUAGCGGUGAAAUGCGUAGAUAUUGGGAGGAACACCAGUGGCGAAGGCGGCUUUCUGGACGGUAACUGACGCUGAGGCGCGAAAGCGUGGGGAGCAAACAGG
This 407-nucleotide ribosomal RNA is filed under the name uncultured prokaryote. RNAcentral describes it as "bacterial SSU rRNA". It matches the Rfam family "Bacterial small subunit ribosomal RNA", at positions 355 to 776 of the family's 1533-position model. The record is from RNAcentral. RNAcentral also lists the same sequence under 1 other name.